CCAACAAUCUCUGUGGGAUUCGACCCUUACUCACGUAAGGUAUUACUUGGACGACCCAGUGCACUUGCUGGUCAGUGGCACGCGUUGUGAAAAGUGUGAUUCGUGAUUUGUGCUACCAAAUUUUUUGCAGGGAGGUCAGAAUCCAACAGCAUCUGCAGUCCUUUUUCAGCCUCUGAAU
Arachis ipaensis is the source of this 178-nucleotide non-coding RNA. Lineage: Eukaryota; Viridiplantae; Streptophyta; Magnoliopsida; Fabales; Fabaceae. The record is from RefSeq and is a predicted model, not a curated record.